CUUUUCAUAUGUCUUACAUCAUAUAGCACAUUAUGGAAGCUACUUACGGAGGCCAAAAUCAAUCAACUAGAGCAAUUACUGAAGGCAUGUCCUCCUCAGUUAAAUGAUAGAUCUGCGUAAAACAAGAGCAUAAAGCAAAUGGAUAAGAUGCCACUCUUGAAGAUUAUGUAUUGCCGAUUGCGGCCGAGGAGAUAACAAGAGUGCGGACGCUAUGGCUAAAGUUUGUCGGAUGUCUACCUUAGAAUGCAAUGUAAUUCCCCCAUCCCCUAGUUAUUGUAUAAACUUCUAUGAGGAUGUUUGUACUUGUAACAAAUAUUCAAGUUUUAUGCUAAGUUCUUA
Long non-coding RNA from Beta vulgaris subsp. vulgaris (sugar beet), 339 nucleotides. RefSeq lists it as uncharacterized. The transcript has 2 exons. NCBI's taxonomy places the organism in Eukaryota, Viridiplantae, Streptophyta, Magnoliopsida, Caryophyllales, Amaranthaceae. The record is from RefSeq and is a predicted model, not a curated record.